Dipodomys ordii (Ord's kangaroo rat) is the source of this 118-nucleotide unclassified non-coding RNA. Ensembl annotates it as predicted gene, 27402. Lineage: Eukaryota; Metazoa; Chordata; Mammalia; Rodentia; Heteromyidae. The record is from Ensembl.
AAUUCACCUGUAUUUGAGUAACUGUUGUAUGAUAGAUAUGUAGCUAAGGGUCACGUUCAGUCUCUGGAUAUUAAGCACAUUUUUGUCUCUAAAAAACGAUUCACGCUGUUUAUACCAG